GAUUAUUCUUUCCUUCUCUGUUUCUCCCAUCAGUAUGAUUCUCAUUAUUUAAGAAUAAUUUCAAUUUCCAAACAACUUCUAAAGAAUAUUCAUUAUAAAAUAUUUAUUAAUUUGCAUAAAAUUAAAAAAAAUAAAAUAAAUAGUACAAAUCAUUAUUGUCAUACUUCACUUUUAGUAUAAUAAAACAAAUUAAAUUCACCCGAAAAAUUUAAUUUAGUA
RNAcentral lists this long non-coding RNA (219 nucleotides) under Vigna radiata. Its description in RNAcentral is "long non-coding RNA (VRAD_LNC017143)". Lineage: Eukaryota; Viridiplantae; Streptophyta; Magnoliopsida; Fabales; Fabaceae. The record is from RNAcentral.